CUGAUGGAGCCGUAGACUAAAACCUACUUUACCAUAGAACAGUUAUAAUACAAGCAUGGGGAAUGGAAUCUGCCAGGCACUAGCUAUGAAGUGAUGUACCUCUACACUGAUAUAGAGGAACUGCAUCUUGGGGUGAAAGGGUAAUUCAGUGCCCAUGCCCAUUCAGUCCUCACUGUCU
This 178-nucleotide small RNA is filed under the name Chelonoidis abingdonii (Abingdon island giant tortoise). Its description in RNAcentral is "TUC338 (ENSCABG00000019179.1)". Lineage: Eukaryota; Metazoa; Chordata; Testudines; Testudinidae. The record is from RNAcentral.